Molecule: long non-coding RNA, 1245 nt
Filed under: Zonotrichia albicollis (white-throated sparrow)
Lineage: Eukaryota; Metazoa; Chordata; Aves; Passeriformes; Passerellidae
Description: lncRNA (ENSZALG00000002109.1)
Source: RNAcentral
GGUUGGGUUGGGUUGAGUUGGGUUGUGUUGGGUUUUGUUGGGUUGGUUGAGUUGGGUUGGGUUUUGUUGGGUUGAGUUGGGUUGGAUGGAUUGACCGAGGUUGGGUUGGAUUGAGUUGGGUUGGAUUGAGUUGGGUUCAUUGGGUUGACUCAGGUUGGGUUGGGUUGGUUGGAUUGGGUUGGGUUUGGUUGUGUUGGAUUGGAUUGGGUUGGUUGAGUUGGGUUGGGUUGGGUUGGGUUGAUUGAUUGGGUUUAUUUAUUGGUCGGGUUGAUUCACUGGGUUGAUUUGAUUGAUUGGUUGAUUGGGUUGGCUGAUUGAGUGAUUGGUUGGUUGGAUUGGCUUGAUUGGUUGGGCUGAUUCAUUGGGUUGAUUGGGCUGAUUUAUUGGGUUGAUUGGGUUGAUUCGUUGGGUUGAUUGAUUGGAUCAGUUGUGUUGAUUGAUUGGAUCAAUUGUGUGGAUUGAUUGGUUGAUUGAUUGGAUCAAUGUGGUUCAUUGGUCGGUUGAUUGGGUUUAUUGGUUGGUUUGAUUCAUUGGCUGAUUGGUUGAGCUGAUUGGUUGAUUGGGUUGAUUGAUUGGUUGGGUUGGUUUGGUUGAUUGGAUCAAUCAGGUUGAUUGAUCAAUCAGACUGAUUGAUUGAUUGAUUGAUAGACUGCCACCGCGGGGCGCUGACCUGGAAGUCAUGGUGCAGCCGGCGUGGGGGUUGAUUGGGUUUAUUGAUCGGGUUAAUUGAUUGCGUUGACUGAUCGAUCGAUCGAUUGAUCGAUGGGAUCGAUGGAUUGCCACGGCGGGGCGCUGACCUGGAAGCAGGUCAUGGUGGAGCCGGCGUGGGGGUUGAUUGGGUUUAUUGAUCGGGUUUACUGGUCAGGUUAAUUGAUUGGGUUGACUGAUCGAUCGAUCGAUCAAUCGAUCGGAUCGAUGGAUCGGCACGGCGGGGCGCUGACCUGGAAGAAGGUCAUGGUGGAGCCGGCGUGGAUGGUGCCGUACUCGAUGUUGGUCUGGUCGGCGAGGUCGUCGGCCGACUCCACCGGCACCUCCAUGCGCUGCACGGUCAGGAACGCCGCCAGGUUGGCCGUGUACGACGAGAUGAUGAUGAGGGUGAAGGCCCACCUGCCCCCCCAAAAAAAAUCACCGGAAACGUCAAAAACAAAAUUAUUCCAAAAAUCCAAAACGAAGGACCCCAAAAAUCCCACAAAAAACUGCUCCAAACCCCACAGAAAUCGCCCCAAAAAUUUAAAAAAAAUCGCC